This 742-nucleotide ribosomal RNA is filed under the name uncultured bacterium. RNAcentral describes it as "bacterial SSU rRNA". It matches the Rfam family "Bacterial small subunit ribosomal RNA", at positions 94 to 823 of the family's 1533-position model. The record is from RNAcentral.
AGCGGCGGACGGGUGAGUAACACGUGGGUAACCUGCCCAAGAGACUGGGAUAACACCUGGAAACAGAUGCUAAUACCGGAUAACAACACUAGACGCAUGUCUAGAGUUUGAAAGAUGGUUCUGCUAUCACUCUUGGAUGGACCUGCGGUGCAUUAGCUAGUUGGUAAGGUAACGGCUUACCAAGGCAAUGAUGCAUAGCCGAGUUGAGAGACUGAUCGGCCACAUUGGGACUGAGACACGGCCCAAACUCCUACGGGAGGCAGCAGUAGGGAAUCUUCCACAAUGGACGAAAGUCUGAUGGAGCAACGCCGCGUGAGUGAAGAAGGGUUUCGGCUCGUAAAGCUCUGUUGGUAGUGAAGAAAGAUAGAGGUAGUAACUGGCCUUUAUUUGACGGUAAUUACUUAGAAAGUCACGGCUAACUACGUGCCAGCAGCCGCGGUAAUACGUAGGUGGCAAGCGUUGUCCGGAUUUAUUGGGCGUAAAGCGAGUGCGGGCGGUUCAAUAAGUCUGAUGUGAAAGCCUUCGGCUCAACCGGAGAAUUGCAUCAGAAACUGUUGAACUUGAGUGCAGAAGAGGAGAGUGGAACUCCAUGUGUAGCGGUGGAAUGCGUAGAUAUAUGGAAGAACACCAGUGGCGAAGGCGGCUCUCUGGCCUGCAACUGACGCUGAGGCUCGAAAGCAUGGGUAGCGAACAGGAUUAGAUACCCUGGUAGUCCAUGCCGUAAACGAUGAGUGCUAAGUGU